RNAcentral lists this ribosomal RNA (404 nucleotides) under Fusobacteriota bacterium. Its description in RNAcentral is "Fusobacteria bacterium partial 16S ribosomal RNA". It matches the Rfam family "Bacterial small subunit ribosomal RNA", at positions 355 to 776 of the family's 1533-position model. The record is from RNAcentral. Lineage: Bacteria; Fusobacteriati; Fusobacteriota.
UGGGGAAUAUUGCACAAUGGGCGAAAGCCUGAUGCAGCGACGCCGCGUGAGUGAAGAAGUAUUUCGGUAUGUAAAGCUCUAUCAGCAGGGAAGAAAAUGACGGUACCUGACUAAGAAGCCCCGGCUAACUACGUGCCAGCAGCCGCGGUAAUACGUAGGGGGCAAGCGUUAUCCGGAUUUACUGGGUGUAAAGGGAGCGUAGACGGCGAAGCAAGUCUGAAGUGAAAACCCAGGGCUCAACCCUGGGACUGCUUUGGAAACUGUUUUGCUAGAGUGUCGGAGAGGUAAGUGGAAUUCCUAGUGUAGCGGUGAAAUGCGUAGAUAUUAGGAGGAACACCAGUGGCGAAGGCGGCUUACUGAACGAUAAAUGACGUUGAGGCUCGAAAGCGUGGGGAGCAAACAGG